CAGGGGAAAGACGCAAUCGCCGCCAUCUGUAAAGACGGGGGAGGAAAGUCUGGACUUCACAGGAGAGGAUACCAGUGAAAGACUGGGGGCCGAGAGGCUACGGAAAGUGUAACAGAAAAUAUUCCGCUAUUGAGUUUCAAUAGACAGGCUGAAAAUGCUCAUUUUGUGAAUGAGCCAGAUCUAGGGCAACUUAGACUGCUAUAAACCCUAUCCGAAGCAAGACUAAUUGAAGUGUUAACGCUCUCCGCGCAGCUUCAGCAAAGUCGCCAGAGGAUGUCGGCAACGGCAUCCCUAGAUGAAUGAUUGCGACUUUCUUGUAAAAGAAAGACAGAAUCCGGCUUAUUAUUUCCCCUGACCU
This 358-nucleotide RNase P RNA is filed under the name Parachlamydiales bacterium. RNAcentral describes it as "RNase P RNA component class A". It matches the Rfam family "Bacterial RNase P class A". From Rfam's summary of the family: Ribonuclease P (RNase P) is a ubiquitous endoribonuclease, found in archaea, bacteria and eukarya as well as chloroplasts and mitochondria. Its best characterised activity is the generation of mature 5'-ends of tRNAs by cleaving the 5'-leader elements of precursor-tRNAs. The record is from RNAcentral. Lineage: Bacteria; Pseudomonadati; Chlamydiota; Chlamydiia; Parachlamydiales.